UACGGAGGGUGCAAGCGUUAUCCGGAUUCACUGGGUUUAAAGGGUGCGUAGGCGGGCAGGUAAGUCCGUGGUGAAAUCUCUGAGCUUAACUCAGAAACUGCCAUGGAUACUAUUUGUCUUGAAUGUUGUGGAGGUAAGCGGAAUAUGUCAUGUAGCGGUGAAAUGCUUAGAUAUGACAUAGAACACCAAUUGCGAAGGCAGCUUACUACACAAAUAUUGACGCUGAGGCACGAAAGCGUGGGGAUCAAAACAGG
RNAcentral lists this ribosomal RNA (254 nucleotides) under uncultured bacterium. Its description in RNAcentral is "partial 16S ribosomal RNA". It matches the Rfam family "Bacterial small subunit ribosomal RNA", at positions 524 to 776 of the family's 1533-position model. The record is from RNAcentral.